Paramisgurnus dabryanus is the source of this 1670-nucleotide RNA transcript. RefSeq lists it as uncharacterized. The record is from RefSeq and is a predicted model, not a curated record. Lineage: Eukaryota; Metazoa; Chordata; Actinopteri; Cypriniformes; Cobitidae.
AAUGAGGUAAGUGGUGGUGAGUGACACCCGUGAUGACCAAUCAGCAGUGAGUAUUGGCUAUAUUAGAGCUGGUUGGCUUUAGCUUGGUAUGCGUCACGUCCGGACCCUCCCCUUUUCGCUGUGUUGAUGGUGGCUUACGCUUGGCUUUCCAUCCGUGCAGUGGUGUUGUUACUACAAUCUAGCCCUCCUGUUCUUCUUGAUGUAGUUUUACGGUUGCUUUAGCGAGGAGCUGUUGACUGCCCUUUCCGCGUAACCGUGGGUGAUCUGAAUGCUGUGCAUGCUUGGCCGUGGCUCGAUACUGAAGCCUACCUAAAACUUUUUAUCUAUCCGCUUGUGGUAAGUCGAGGAGCUGAGGUCCCCACGGGUGAAGGAUCUGGUGGUGGUGGUUGUACUAUCCCAACGUUUGCUGUGUUACACCUUUUUGGAGUGUAUGAUUUGUAAUCUAAGUUCACGGUGUGGUGUGUAUGUGAAGUGUGCUCUUUGACAACGUGCGCCGGUGAUCACUCCUGUGGGUAACCUCAGCCCUGUAUGUUGUAUUUGUUUUGAUUUAUUCUUUAUCCAGCUGCCACUUACCGCAUAACUUCCAGUAAGAAUAUUGUUGAAAUCUGAAGUGAUGCGAUCCGUCUUGUCUUGACAUUGAACUGAUUGGAGGUGUAACAUACUCCUUUUAAAGAAAAAUUAACUGUUCUAUUUUUUUUAUUAUUAUUGAUUAAUAAAUUUUGUAUUUUUGAUACUCAUGUUCUCUGUCUGCCUUUAAUUAUAUAUGAGAAGUGAACCUGUGUGACCUAGUGGUCAUUUUUGUUUCCUGGGUAGUUCCCAGGUGGCGUAGUCAAAUUCCUCUGCAAGUAGGUGAACUUGCAUUGAUAGCUGUAGAGCGUCACUUCGCCACAUUUGGCGUAGUCUCGGCAGGGUCUCUAUUGUGUAGUGCAGAGACGUGAGUAUCAUUUUGUGGUUAGUGUUGGUAUUUUGUGUGUCUGUUUUUGUUUUCUUUUUCUCUUUUUUUUGCAGAAACCAGGCAGCAGUAUUCUAUUUUGUGAGUUAAUGUGAGGAACAUCCCCACUGGGUCUUGUAUUUUCUUCAGUAGUGCUUGGCUUUCCAUCCGUGCAGUGGUGUUGUUACUACAAUCUAGCCCUCCUGUUCUUCUUGAUGUAGUUUUACGGUUGCUUUAGCGAGGAGCUGUUGACUGCCCUUUCCGCGUAACCGUGGGUGAUCUGAAUGCUGUGCAUGCUUGGCCGUGGCUCGAUACUGAAGCCUACCUAAAACUUUUUAUCUAUCCGCUUGUGGAGCUGAGGUCCCCACGGGUGAAGGAUCUGGUGGUGGUGGUUGUACUAUCCCAACGUUUGCUGUGUUACACCUUUUUGGAGUGUAUGAUUUGUAAUCUAAGUUCACGGUGUGGUGUGUAUGUGAAGUGUGCUCUUUGACAACGUGCGCCGGUGAUCACUCCUGUGGGUAACCUCAGCCCUGUAUGUUGUAUUUGUUUUGAUUUAUUCUUUAUCCAGCUGCCACUUACCGCAUAACUUGCAGUAAGAAUAUUGUUGAAAUCUGAAGUGAUGCGAUCCGUCUUGUCUUGACAUUGAACUGAUUGGAGGUGUAACAUACUCCUUUUAAAGAAAAAUUAACUGUUCUAUUUUUUUUAUUAUUAUUGAUUAAUAAAUUUUGUAUUUUUGAUA